GUGGGGGCUUUGAGUACUGAGAUGCUGGACUGUCGGCACAGAGUGGCUCUGGCUGGCUGAAGCCUCUCAUACCCUCCAGGCCAGGCGAACCCAGUCCCCAGCUAACCCCGGCACCCCUCUCUGGGCUCAGCAGCAGAUGGGCCAGACCUUGAGCCAGGCCAACAAUUGGAACAGGGCCUGGAUGAUUCAAGAAACCUGCUCCCCUCAACCCCCAUGGACUGGGAGAUGCUGAUGGAACCACUCCUCUUAUUCAUGGCUGUGACUCCCAAUGGGGAGUCAGCCCCUCCAGCAGUGCCACUGCCUCCCCAGGCUCCACACUGCCAUGUGGUGAUGUGGGUCCUGUGUGGGGAGCAGCCCAUGUGUUGGGAGGAGGAUGUUGUGCUGGAGACACCGUGGGGGAGUGGAGAUGGCUCACAGCCUGCAUCAGCUCCUAUAAGAGAAGCUGCUUGGGACCAAGUACUCUACCAGCUGACAGCAGCCUCUGUGGACUGGGAUAAUGAGCAGCUAACUCUCCGAGGAAGGGCAGAGACCACAGCUGACCAGGCCCGUGCCCAGGGGUGCUGGCUUCAAGCCCUUCAGACAAGCAAGAUCAGCUCUGCCCCUCCUGCUUCACUUGCCCUGUAGCUGUGGAAGCUACCACUAGGGAGGUCCUGCCUGGGGCCCUGCAGGUGUGGAGCUCAGAGCCAGCUGAGCCCCCAGGAACCCCUCCUGCCUCUCACAGCCAUCUAGAUGCAGCUUCUCUGCCCACAAUUGUCCCCUCUAAAGGU
RNAcentral lists this long non-coding RNA (767 nucleotides) under Homo sapiens (human). Its description in RNAcentral is "non-protein coding lnc-SLC7A7-3:1". The record is from RNAcentral. Lineage: Eukaryota; Metazoa; Chordata; Mammalia; Primates; Hominidae.